AACGCACAUUGCGCCCAUUAGUAUUCUAGUGGGCAUGCCUGUUCGAGCGUCAUUACAACCCUCAAGUGCUUUAGUGCUUGGUGUUGGGGCUUCUGCUGCUUGCAGCAGGCCCUGAAAGAUAGUGGCGAGGUCGCCGUGACCCUGAGCGUAGUAAUUUACACCUCGCUUCUGUGGCUCGCGGCGGGUUCUCAGCCGUGAAACCCCCAAUUUUCACAAGGUUGACCUCGGAUCAGGUAGGAAUACCCGCUGAACUUAA
This 256-nucleotide unclassified non-coding RNA is filed under the name uncultured fungus. RNAcentral's name for it is "partial contains 5.8S ribosomal RNA, internal transcribed spacer 2, and large subunit ribosomal RNA". Lineage: Eukaryota; Fungi. The record is from RNAcentral.